GUCUAUGGCUAUGCUACCCUGAAUAAACCCGAUCCCGUUUGAUCUUGGAAGCUAAGCAGAGUUCAGCCUGGUUAGUACUUGGAUGGGAUUCCACCUAGGAAGACCAGAUGCUAUAGGCG
This 119-nucleotide ribosomal RNA is filed under the name Pteropus alecto (black flying fox). The record is from RNAcentral. Lineage: Eukaryota; Metazoa; Chordata; Mammalia; Chiroptera; Pteropodidae.